CAAUUGCACCACUACCAGAUGGACCUGCGUUGUAUUAUCUAGUUGGUGGGGUAACGGCUCACCAAGGCGACAAUACAUAGCCGACCUGAGAGGGUGAUCGGCCACACUGGGACUGAGACACGGCCCACACUCCUACGGGAGGCAGCAGUAGGGAAUCUUCGGCAAUGGACGGAAGUCUGACCGAGCAACGCCGCGUGAGUGAAGAAGGUUUUCGGAUCGUAAAGCUCUGUUGUAAGAGAAGAACGAGUGUGAGAGUGGAAAGUUCACACUGUGACGGUAUCUUACCAGAAAGGGACGGCUAACUACGUGCCAGCAGCCGCGGUAAUACGUAGGUCCCGAGCGUUGUCCGGAUUUAUUGGGCGWAAAGCGAGCGCAGGCGGUUAGAUAAGUCUGAAGUUANAAGGCUGUGGCUUAACNCAUAGUNACGCUUUGGAAACUNGUUUAACUUGAGNUGCASAAGGNGGAGAGUGGAAUUCCAUGUGUANGCGGUGAAAUGCGUAGAUAUAUGGAGGAACACCGNGUGGCGAAAGCGGCUCUYUGGUNYUGUAACUGACGCUGAGGCUCGAAAGCGUGGGGAGCAAACAGGAUUAGAUANCCCUGGUAGUCCACGCCGUAAACGAUGAGUGCUAGGUGUUGGRUCCUUUCCNGGGGYUCAGUGCCGCAGCUAACGCAUUAAGCACUCCGCCUGGGGAGUACGACCGCAAGGUUGAAACUCAAAGGAAUUGACGGGGGCCCGCACAAGCGGUGGAGCAUGUGGUUUAAUUCGNAAGCAACGCGAAGAACCUUACCAGGUCUUGACAUCCCGGUGMCCGUCCUAGAGAUAGRAUUUUGCUUCGGGCACACCGGUGACAGGUGGUGCAUGGUUGUCGUCAGCUCGUGUCGUGAGAUGUUGGGUUAAGUCCCGCAACGAGCGCAACCCUUAUUGUUAGUUGCCAUCAUUUAGUUGGGCACUCUAGCGAGACUGCCGGUAAUAAACCGGAGGAAGGUGGGGAUGACGUCAAAUCAUCAUGCCCCUUAUGACCUGGGCUACACACGUGCUACAAUGGCUGGUACAACGAGUUGCAAGUCGGUGA
Molecule: ribosomal RNA, 1073 nt
Filed under: Streptococcus pneumoniae
Lineage: Bacteria; Bacillati; Bacillota; Bacilli; Lactobacillales; Streptococcaceae
Description: bacterial SSU rRNA
Source: RNAcentral